RNAcentral lists this long non-coding RNA (780 nucleotides) under Musa acuminata (dwarf banana). RNAcentral's name for it is "long non-coding RNA (MACU_LNC003942)". The record is from RNAcentral. Lineage: Eukaryota; Viridiplantae; Streptophyta; Magnoliopsida; Zingiberales; Musaceae.
AUUUUGUUGAAUGUGUUACUUAAUCUGAGUUUGAGCUAUUUGUUAUCGCUUGCAGUUAUUUUGGCAAAGAAUGUGUUUUAAUGAACUUCAUGCGUUUAUAAAUUAUUCUUUUCCAUUUCAUAAUAGAUGGAUGCCACCACACCAAAGUACUCCAAGGCUAGAUAUGAUGAGAUUGUGAAGGAGGUUUCUUCUUACCUGAAGAAAAUUGGAUACAAUCCUGACAAGAUUCCCUUUGUUCCCAUUUCUGGUUUUGAAGGUGAUAACAUGAUUGAGAGGUCUACCAACCUGGACUGGUACAAGGGUCCAACCCUUCUUGACGCCCUUGACAUGAUUCAGGAACCAAAAAGGCCCUCGGACAAGCCUCUUCGUCUUCCUCUCCAGGAUGUCUACAAGAUUGGUGGCAUUGGAACUGUCCCUGUUGGACGAGUUGAAACUGGUAUCCUCAAGCCUGGUAUGGUUGUCACUUUUGGUCCAACCGGUCUUACAACUGAAGUCAAGUCAGUCGAAAUGCAUCAUGAGGCAUUGCAAGAGGCCUUCCCUGGUGACAAUGUAGGGUUUAAUGUUAAGAAUGUUGCCGUCAAGGAUCUCAAGCGUGGGUUUGUUGCUUCCAACUCCAAGGAAGAUCCUGCCAAGGAGGCAGCUAGCUUCACAUCACAGGUUAUUAUCAUGAACCAUCCCGGUCAGAUCGGCAAUGGAUAUGCACCUGUGCUUGACUGCCACACCUCCCACAUUGCUGUUAAGUUUGCUGAGCUUCUCACCAAGAUCGAUAGGCGGUCCAGU